GGGUGAUGGCGUGCCUUUUGUAGAAUGAACCGGCGAGUUACGUUCCCAUGCAAGGUUAAGCUGAGAAGGCGGAGCCGCAGCGAAAGCGAGUCUGAAUAGGGCGAAUAAGUAUGUGGACGUAGACCCGAAACCGUGUGAUCUACCCCUGUCCAGGGUGAAGGUGCGGUAACACGCACUGGAGGCCCGAACCCACGCAUGUUGAAAAAUGCGGGGAUGAGGUGGGGGUAGCGGAGAAAUUCCAAUCGAACUCGGAGAUAGCUGGUUCUCCCCGAAAUAGCUUUAGGGCUAGCCUCGGAAAUAAGUCGUGGAGGUAGAGCACUGAUUGGGUGCGGGGCCCGCAAGGGUUACCAAGCUCAGUCAAACUCCGAAUGCCAUAGACUCGAAUUCCGGGAGUCAGACAGUGAGUGCUAAGAUCCAUUGUCAAAAGGGAAACAGCCCAGACCAUCAGCUAAGGUCCCCAAGUGUGUGUUAAGUGGGAAAGGAUGUGGAGUUGCACAGACAACCAGGAUGUUGGCUUAGAAGCAGCCACCAUUGAAAGAGUGCGUAAUAGCUCACUGGUCGAGUGACUCUGCGCCGAAAAUGUAACGGGGCUAAACACGCCACCGAAGCUAUGGCUUGAUGCGUAUGCAUCAGGGGUAGGGGAGCGUUGUAUGUGGGUUGAAGGUGUACCGUAAGGAGCGCUGGACAGCAUACAAGUGAGAAUGCCGGUAUAAGUAACGAAAAGAUCAGUGAGAAUCUGAUCCGCCGAAAGCCCAAGGUUUCCUGAGGAAGGCUCGUCCGCUCAGGGUAAGUCGGGACCUAAGGCGAGGCCGAAAGGCGUAGUCGAAGGACAACAGGUUGAAAUUCCUGUACCACCGUAAACCGUUAUGAGUAAUGGGGUGACGCAGCAGGGUAGUGACGCGGACUGAUGGAUGUCCGUCUAAGCAGUGAGGCUGGUGUGUAGGCAAAUCCGCACAUCGUAAGGCUGGGCUGUGAUGGGGAGCGAAAAUUAUAGUAGCGAAGGUCAUGAUCUCACACUGCCAAGAAAAGCCUCUAACCAGGUGAAGGUGCCCGUACCGCAAACCGACACAGGUAGGCGAGAAGAGUAUUCUAAGGCGCGCGGAAGAACUCUCGUUAAGGAACUCGGCAAAAUGACCCCGUAACUUCGGGAGAAGGGGUGCCCCGGUAGUGUGAAUAGCACGAGGGGGCCGCAGUGAAAAGGCCCAAGCGACUGUUUAGCAAAAACACAGGUCUGUGCGAAGCCGUAAGGCGAAGUAUACGGCUGACGCCUGCCCGGUGCUGGAAGGUUAAGGGGAGUGGUUAGGGGUAACCCGAAGCUAUGAACCGAAGCCCCAGUAAACGGCGGCCGUAACUAUAACGGUCCUAAGGUAGCGAAAUUCCUUGUCAGGUAAAUUCUGACCCGCACGAAUGGCGUAACGACUUGGGCGCUGUCUCAACGAGAGAUCCGGUGAAAUUUUAAUACCUGUGAAGAUGCAGGUUACCCGCGACAAGACGGAAAGACCCCAUGGAGCUUUACUGUAGCUUGAUAUUGGAUUUGGGUACGAUCUGUACAGGAUAGGUGGGAGCCUGAGAAGUAGGAGCGCCAGCUUCUAUGGAGGCAUCGUUGGGAUACCACCCUGAUCGUAUCUAGGUUCUAACCUAGGACCGUUAGCCGGUUCGGGGACAGUGUCAGGUGGACAGUUUGACUGGGGCGGUCGCCUCCUAAAGAGUAACGGAGGCGCCCCAAGGUUCCCUCAGAAUGGUUGGAAAUCAUUCGAAGAGUGCAAAGGCAGAAGGGAGCUUGACUGCGAGACCUACAAGUCGAGCAGGGACGAAAGUCGGGCUUAGUGAUCCGGUGGUACCGCAUGGAAGGGCCAUCGCUCAACGGAUAAAAGCUACCCUGGGGAUAACAGGCUUAUCUCCCCCAAGAGUCCACAUCGACGGGAGGUUUGGCACCUCGAUGUCGGCUCAUCGCAUCCUGGGGCUGAAGUAGGUCCCAAGGGUUGGGCUGUUCGCCCAUUAAAGCGGUACGCGAGCUGGGUUCAGAACGUCGUGAGACAGUUCGGUCCCUAUCUGUCGUGGGCGUAGGAAAUUUGAGAGGAGCUGUCCUUAGUACGAGAGGACCGGGAUGGACGUACCACUGGUGCACCAGUUGUUCCGCCAGGAGCAUGGCUGGGUAGCUACGUACGGACGGGAUAAGCGCUGAAAGCAUCUAAGCGUGAAGCCCCCCUCAAGAUGAGAUUUCCCAGUAUGUAAGACCCCUUGAAGACCACGAGGUAGAUAGGUUGGAGGUGGAAGUGCAGCAAUGCAUGGAGCUGACCAAUACUAAUCGGUC
This is a ribosomal RNA of Paenibacillus pini JCM 16418, 2314 nucleotides long. It matches the Rfam family "Bacterial large subunit ribosomal RNA", at positions 591 to 2910 of the family's 2925-position model. The record is from Rfam. NCBI's taxonomy places the organism in Bacteria, Bacillati, Bacillota, Bacilli, Caryophanales, Paenibacillaceae.